Molecule: non-coding RNA, 369 nt
Organism: Salvelinus sp. IW2-2015
Lineage: Eukaryota; Metazoa; Chordata; Actinopteri; Salmoniformes; Salmonidae
Source: RefSeq, a predicted model, not a curated record
AACGGAAGUUGUUGUACACCAUCGGACUUUURUUUGUGAAACACUGGCGGUAUUUUCGAUUCUUCACUGAACCUGCUGCCUGGUUGCUCCAGCCAGCCCAGUAACAGUGAGGUCGGAUAUGGAGGGUUGCUGAGCCCUGCUCUCUACCGUGGUCCGUCAGCCAGUCCAGCCGGACAGGACUCCGGUCAGGAGACGCAUAGUUAAGACGACAGGAUGAGCUCCGCGGCCCCUCCGGCCAAGAGGAAAUGUUACAUGGGACGACAUCAGAUCAUCAAGAAAAACAGUGUCCCCGACCCUGAGCAGCCACUCACCCCAAGACGCUCCAGUCGCCUGCAAAACACUCAUACACACACGCUGCGUGACAACACA